Molecule: long non-coding RNA, 1037 nt
Filed under: Homo sapiens (human)
Lineage: Eukaryota; Metazoa; Chordata; Mammalia; Primates; Hominidae
Description: non-protein coding lnc-MT1G-5:1
Source: RNAcentral
ACCUAGCAUGUGGUUCAUGGAAGGAAAGCAAGAAAUAUUUCUUAAAUAACAGAAUCCAGCUCCACUAAUUGUUACCCCCUAUCUUGAGCUGCUGCUUCCAGAGACGAUUUCUUAGUGGGAAGUCGCAAAUUACAUAAAGCUUGGUGAGCUGUGGAUGAGUGAUUAGCAAUAUUCUUCAAAAGUCAUUAAAAGCUUUGGCUAGGCAAAGUGGCUCACACCUGUAAUCCCAGCACUUUGGGAGGCUGAGGCAGGGAGAUCACUUGAGGUCAGGAGUUUGAGACCAGCCUGGCCAAAGUGGUAAAACCCCGUCUCUACUAAAAAUACAAAAAUUAGCUGGCAUGGUGGCAUGCACCUGUAGUCCCAGCUCUCAGGAGGCUGAGGCAGGAGAAUCACUUGAACCCAGGAGGUGAAGGUUGCAGUGAGGCAAGAUUGUGCCACUGCACUCCGGCCUGGGUGACAGAGUGAGACUCUGUCUUAAUUUUUUAAAAAAAAAAAGCCAUUAAAAGCUUAAAAGGGAAGCUUCUUACUUUGCCUUUCAGAUGGGUUUCAUGUCAGCGGCACAGAAGGUGACUUGACAUUAUCCAGGAUAGCAAACAGGCUUUCUCUAGAACACCAACCCCUGGCAAUUGGUUGAGUUUGUGGGAAGCCAAGGGUUAAGGAUAGUGAGAGCAAAUCGCAAAUCCAGGCCUGGCUAGUUUUUAUAUUUUUAGUAGCGACAGGGUUUCACCAUGUUGGUCAUGCUGGUCUCAAACUCCUGCCUCAAGUGACCUGCCCGCCUGGGCCUCCCAAAGUGCUGGGAUUGCAGGCAUGAGCCACUGCGCCCGGCUUAGGACUGGACUAUUUUGACUAAUCAGAACUGAACCAGUUUGAAUCCUUCAUUUGUAUAAGCAGACCUAAUUGAGAAUUUUCCCUACUGAGGCCAGACUCUACCUUUAUUCUUCCCAGGGUAAGCUUUCACUUAUGCUGAAGACUGUGCCUCCCCAUUCUGCAGAUUGUUUUCCAUAUAUGUAGAGAGAGAAAAUAAAGCUCUCCCUCUU